UAAAAGGUGACCAAGCCAAUGGCUGUUUGCUCAGUGACCUUAAGUAGUUAAAGUGGUUAAUUAAUCAUUGUGUUUGAAUUAAUACAGAACAAAUCCUCCAUUUUCACCAAAGGAAAAGAGGGAUCCCCCAGAAUCCAUCCUCUCGGGUGGGUAAGAGCUCUUUAUUCUGGGCAUUUUCAUUUCUCGCUACAGGAAGAGACUGCGUUCGACCCAACGCGUGGCUCGCGGCUUGGGGUGUAAACGGCGCUGCAAGUUUGGAGCCUCCGGCGGCCCGGCCGCCCCGCCCUGCGGUUGGAGCGGGAGCCUCUGCGCGAUUCGCCAAUGAAACCCCGAGGAGCUCCAUGACCUCAUCAGAAGACUCUCUCAUUGGCUGCCGCUGCCACGCGGCCCUGCCCUUGCCUUUAAGGCGCUGGGAAGCUGCGUGGGCUCCGCUCCCCAGGUGGGUACAACCUCAUGGCAGAUUGAGUUCCUUACCUAGUCCGCAGGACUGGAGGGCUUCUCUUCAAAUGACAGGUCACUCAGGGAAGUUUCUGCUUUCUGACAGAGACCUGCAGGUGCGUUUCCGCCAGCCAAAGUACUGGCUUCCUGUGCUGACCUCUGACCGGUGUGUUAUUGGGGGGUAGCUGGUGCCUUCCUCCUUUCCUGGUGCCUUCCUCCUUUACUGUACCUGGCUGAUCACACUUAUUCCCACUUACUUUAAUCACGUGUGUUAACAGGUAUUGUCUUGCUUCUCAGUGGAUGAAUUUCUCAAGCCCGACCUUACUGUGGAAAGCCUGUGAUUAUCUCUCUCAGUUUUAACCUGGGAAUUAACUGACGCCCAGAGAGGGAAUAUGACUUUCCCAAGGUCACACAGCAGCCUGCUACCUGAGAACUCAGAAUGGCGUUGCAGUCCAGGAACCUCACCCUGAACAACCACACACCAGUAAGGGCUAACCUGGGCUUCUUCACGUUCUAGCAGCUGCCUCUCACUUUGACAGGCUGGAGUCACAGACCGGAGCCUGGCAACCUCCUAGGGAAGAGCCCUCGUUUUACGAGUGAGGACACUGAAGGAUACCUGGCUAUAAACCUCAUGGUGAUGGACAGAGGCAGGACUUGAACCAAGCCUCCUGCUUGUCUCUUCCAGUAAUGAUGCCCAAAUGCUGGAAGAAACAAUGUCCACGAGUCCCCUGGGAAAGGUCUGAGUGAUAAACAUGGUUUCAGUA
Molecule: long non-coding RNA, 1202 nt
Organism: Manis pentadactyla (Chinese pangolin)
Lineage: Eukaryota; Metazoa; Chordata; Mammalia; Pholidota; Manidae
Exons: 2
Source: RefSeq, a predicted model, not a curated record